Molecule: ribosomal RNA, 638 nt
Filed under: Rhizopus arrhizus
Lineage: Eukaryota; Fungi; Mucoromycota; Mucoromycetes; Mucorales; Rhizopodaceae
Description: Rhizopus oryzae partial large subunit ribosomal RNA
Rfam family: Eukaryotic large subunit ribosomal RNA
Source: RNAcentral
CGGCGAGUGANAGGAAGAGCUCAAAGUUGGAACCUGUUUGGCCUAGCUAAACCGGAUUGUAGACUGUAGAAGUGUUUUCCAGGCAAGCCGAGUAAAUAAGUCCUUUGGAACAGGGCAUCAUAGAGGGUGAGAAUCCCGUCUUUGGCUUGAGCAUUUGCCUUUUGUGAUACGCUUUCAAAGAGUCAGGUUGUUUGGGAAUGCAGCCUAAAUUGGGUGGUAAAUCUCACCUAAAGCUAAAUAUUGGCGAGAAACCGAUAGCGAACAAGUACCGUGAGGGAAAGAUGAAAAGAACUUUGAAAAGAGAGUUAAACAGUAUGUGAAAUUGUUAAAAGGGAACCGUUUGGAGCCAGACUGGCUUGUCUGUAAUCAAUCUAGGCUUCGGCCUGGAUGCACUUGCAGGCUAUGCCUGCCAACGACAAUUUGACUUGAGGGAAAAAACUAGGGGAAAUGUGGCCCACUUGUGGGUGUUAUAGUCCCUUAGAAAAUACCUUGGGUUGGAUUGAGGAACGCAGCGAAUGCUUAUUGGCGAGUUUUCCAGGAAGGUUUUCUGAGGUACUACGGUAUCAAGGUUGAUCUUUUUGGUUAUACUUCUAUUCGCUUAGGUUGUUGGCUUAAUGACUCUAAAUGACCCGUCUUGA